This 465-nucleotide ribosomal RNA is filed under the name uncultured bacterium. Its description in RNAcentral is "partial 16S ribosomal RNA". It matches the Rfam family "Bacterial small subunit ribosomal RNA", at positions 28 to 507 of the family's 1533-position model. The record is from RNAcentral.
GACGAACGCUGGCGGCGUGCUUAACACAUGCAAGUCGAACGGAAAGGCCCCUUCGGGGGUACUCGAGUGGCGAACGGGUGAGUAACACGUGAGUAACCUGCCCUUGACUUCGGGAUAACUUCAGGAAACUGGGGCUAAUUCCGGAUAGGAAUCCUUGCUGCAUGGUGGGGGUUGGAAAGCUUCGGCGGUUUUGGAUGGACUCGCGGCUUAUCAGCUUGUUGGUGGGGUAGUGGCUUACCAAGGCUUUGACGGGUAGCCGGCCUGAGAGGGCGACCGGCCACAUUGGGACUGAGAUACGGCCCAGACUCCUACGGGAGGCAGCAGUGGGGAAUAUUGCACAAUGGGCGGAAGCCUGAUGCAGCAACGCCGCGUGCGGGAUGACGGCCUUCGGGUUGUAAACCGCUUUCAGCAGGGGCGAAGCUUGUGGUGACGGUACCUGCAGAAGAAGCACCGGCUAACUACGUG